RNAcentral lists this ribosomal RNA (403 nucleotides) under uncultured bacterium. RNAcentral describes it as "bacterial SSU rRNA". It matches the Rfam family "Bacterial small subunit ribosomal RNA", at positions 29 to 425 of the family's 1533-position model. The record is from RNAcentral.
AAUGAACGCUGGCGGCGCGCCUAAUACAUGCAAGUCGAGCGAGAAGACGUGGCAAUACGUUUGUAAAGCGGCGAACGGGUGAGGAAUACAUGGGUAACCUACCCUCGAGUGGGGAAUAACUAGCCGAAAGGUUAGCUAAUACCGCGUACGCUUCUUGGACUUCGGUUCAGGGAGGAAAGCGAUGCCGAGGGUAUCGCGCUCUUGGAUGGGCUCAUGUCCUAUCAGCUUGUUGGGAGGUAACGGCUCACCAAGGCUUCGACGGGUAGCUGGUCUGAGAGGAUGGCCAGCCACAUUGGGACUGAGGCACGGCCCAGACUCCUACGGGAGGCAGCAGUGGGGAAUCUUGCGCAAUGGGCGAAAGCCUGACGCAGCGACGCCGCGUGAGGGAUGACGGCCUCGGUUG